UUUUUUUUUUUUUUUUUUUUUUUUUUUUUUUUUUUUUUUUUUUUUUUUUUUUUUUUUUGCUGUUUGUUCUUCUGAAGAAACGGUCACGAGAG
RNAcentral lists this non-coding RNA (92 nucleotides) under Alexandrium minutum. Lineage: Eukaryota; Dinophyceae; Gonyaulacales; Pyrocystaceae. The record is from RNAcentral.